This 211-nucleotide ribosomal RNA is filed under the name uncultured bacterium. RNAcentral describes it as "partial 16S ribosomal RNA". It matches the Rfam family "Bacterial small subunit ribosomal RNA", at positions 384 to 614 of the family's 1533-position model. The record is from RNAcentral.
UGAGCAGCACGCCGCGUGCGGGAUGACGGCCCUCGGGUUGUAAACCGCUUUCAGUGGGGACGAACCAAGACGGUACCCACAGAAGAAGCCCCGGCCAACUACGUGCCAGCAGCCGCGGUAACACGUAGGGGGCAAGCGUUGUCCGGAUUUAUUGGGCGUAAAGAGCUCGUAGGUGGUUCGAUAAGUCAGGUGUAAACCUCACAGCAAACCA